GUCCAGACUCCUACGGGAGGCAGCAGUGGGGAAUAUUGGGCAAUGGGCGCAAGCCUGACCCAGCAAUGCCGCGUGAAGGAAGAAGGCUUUCGGGUUGUAAACUUCUUUGACAGGGGAAGAGCAGAAGACGGUACCCUGAAAACAAGCCACGGCUAACUACGUGCCAGCAGCCGCGGUAAUACGUAGGUGGCAAGCGUUGUCCGGAUUUACUGGGUGUAAAGGGCGUGUAGCCGGGCUUACAAGUCAGAUGUGAAAUCCGGGGGCUCAACCCCCGAACUGCAUUUGAAACUGUAGGUCUUGAGUAUCGGAGAGGCAGGCGGAAUUCCUAGUGUAGCGGUGAAAUGCGUAGAUAUUAGGAGGAACACCAGUGGCGAAGGCGGCCUGCUGGACGACAACUGACGGUGAGGCGCGAAAGCGUGGGGAGCAAACAGGAUUAGAUACCCGCGUACC
Molecule: ribosomal RNA, 450 nt
Filed under: uncultured bacterium
Lineage: Bacteria
Description: bacterial SSU rRNA
Rfam family: Bacterial small subunit ribosomal RNA
Source: RNAcentral